UGCAUGAAGUUGGAAUCACUAGUAAUCGCGGAUCAGCAUGCCGCGGUGAAUGCGUUCUCGGGCCUUGUACACACCGCCCGUCACACCAUGAGAGUCGGGAACACCCGAAGUCCGUAGCCUAACCGCAAGGGGGCGCGGCCGAAGGUGGGCUCGAUAAUUGGGGUGAAGUCGUAACAAGGUAUC
Molecule: ribosomal RNA, 183 nt
Filed under: uncultured bacterium
Lineage: Bacteria
Description: partial 16S ribosomal RNA
Rfam family: Bacterial small subunit ribosomal RNA
Source: RNAcentral